UGUCUGUAAACUGUAACUAGCCUGGGGAGAGACAUGUUGUCUGUAACCUGUAACUAGCCUAGGGAGAGACAUGUUGUCUGUAAACUGUAACUAGCCUGGGGAGAGACAUGUUGUCUGUAACCUGUAUCUAGCCUAGGGAGAGACAUGUUGUCUGUAACCUGUAACUAGCCUGGGGAGAGACAUGUUGUCUGUAACCUGUAACUAGCCUGGGGAGAGACAUGUUGUCUGUAACCUGUAACUAGCCUAGGGAGAGACAUGUUGUCUGUAACCUGUAUCUAGCCUAGGGAGAGACAUGUUGUCUGUAACCUGUAACUAGCCUGGGGAGGGACAUGUUGUCUGUAACCUGUAACUAGCCUAGGGAGAGACAUGUUGUCUGUAACCUGUAACUAGCCUAGGGAGAGACAUGUUGUCUGUAACCUGUAACUAGCCUAGGGAGAGACAUGUUGUCUGUAACCUGUAACUAGCCUAGGGAGAGACAUGUUGUCUGUAACCUGUAACUAGCCUGGGGAGAGACAUGUUGUCUGUAACCUGUAACUAGCCUAGGGAGAGACAUGUUGUCUGUAACCUGUAACUAGCCUGGGGAGAGACAUGUUGUCUGUAACCUGUAACUAGCCUGGGGAGAGACAUGUUGUCUGUAACCUGUAACUAGCCUGGGGAGAGACAUGUUGUCUGUAACCUGUAACUAGCCUAGGGAGAGACCUGGCUGGCUUGCUUUAUUUAAAUGAAUGUAAUACACAUUGUUAUAUCCUUCUGGUUAAAUCCCAAAUGGCACCCUAUUCCCUACAUAGUGCACUACUUUUGACCAGGUCCCAUAGUGCUCUGUUCAAAAGUAGUGCACUUUAUAGGGAAUAGGGUGCCAUUUGGGCCAAAUAUAGGAUAAUUUGACUGUAGCCUUCUGCGUUGAGCAGAGACAACUUUUUCCUUGUUGGCACUUUAUCUGUUGGUUAGUAGGUGUUAUUAUAUUAUUGAACCUCUGGAGCCAUACGCUAUUGGGUUAGUCAGGCUGAUCAGCAAGUCUCAAUAAGGUGUUGGGAUCAACAAGUCUCAAUAAGGUGUUGGGAUCAACAAGUCUCAAUAAGGUGUUGGGUUAGUCAGACUGAUCAGCAAGUCUCAAUAAGGUGUUGGGUUAGUCAGGCUGAUCAACAAGUCUCAAUAAGGUGUUGGGAUCAACAAGUCUCAAUAAGGUGUUGGGAUCAACAAGUCUCAAUAAGGUGUUGGGUUAGUCAGGCUGAUCAACAAGUCUCAAUAAGGUGUUGGGUUAGUCAGACUGAUCAGCAAGUCUCAAUAAGGUGUUGGGUUAGUCAGGCUGAUCAACAAGUCUCAAUAAGGUGUUGGGUUAGUCAGGCUGAUCAGAAAGUCUCAAGCCUCAAACACCUUAGUAAUAUAUUCUGUCCAUGGACUCAUGUUACUCAUUUUCACUGGGGGGUGCGUCCCAAAUGUCAACUCAUUCUACAUUUGACCAGGGCCCAUAUGGGGGAAUAGGAAGUCAUUAAUGACCAGGGCCCAUAUGGGGGAAUAGGAAGUCAUUAAUGACCAGGGCCCAUAUGGGGGAAUAGGAAGUCAUUAAUGACCAGGGCCCAUAUGGGGGAAUAGUGUGUUCUCAGAAGGUGAAGCCAGUAGUGGCCUACUGGGCCGAGGCUUUGAUGUUGCUUUCCUGUGGCGUUACUUCUUUAUUUUAUCCUUGGUGGGGUUUAUUUUAUGUAAAUCAAGGAGACGUGCUUUUGAUUUGUCUGUUGAGUGUAAGGGGUUGUCCCAAAUGUCACCCUAUUCCCUAUGUAGUGCAUUACUAUGGGCCCUAUUCCCUAUGUAGUGCGCUACUAUGGGCCCUAUUCCCUAUGUAGUGCGCUACUAUGGGCCCUAUUCCCUAUGUAGUGCGCUACUAUGGGCCCUAUUCCCUAUGUAGUGCGCUACUAUGGGCCCUAUUCCCAAUGUAGUGCGCUACUAUGGGCCCUAUUCCCUAUGUAGUGCGCUACUAUGGGCCCUAUUCCCUAUGUAGUGCGCCACUAUGGGCCCUAUUCCCUAUGUAGUGCGCCACUAUGGGCCCUAUUCCCUAUGUAGUGCGCUACUGUGGGCCCUAUUCCCUAUGUAGUGCUCUACUAUGGGCCCUAUUCCCUAUGUAGUGCUCUACUAUGGGCCCUAUUCCCUAUGUAGUGCUCUACUAUGGGCCCUAUUCCCUAUGUAGUGCACUAUAAAUGGAAUAAGGUGCCAUUAGGGAGACAAGCCAUCUCAGAACAUACGCUGUUAAACCAUUGAGUACAUAACUGUGCUGUUACAUAUUUAUAUAAUUUGUAAGUAUGCAUAUUGUAAUUAUUUUAUAUUUGUAUACAUGCACUAGUUUAUAAGUGUGCAUUAUUUUUUCGGGACAUGAAUCAAACUGACGUGUAAAAAAGUUGAAAAAAAUAAAGUACUUUUUUUGUUAACCUGUCUCUGUCUGUUUGUCUGGUCUGUUUGUCUGGUCUGUUUGUCUGGUCUGUUUGUCUGGUCUGUUUGUCUGGUCUGUUUGUCUGGUUUGGUCUGUCUGGUCUGUCUGUCUGGUCUGGUCUGUUUGUCUGGUUUGGUCUGUUUGUCUGGUUUGGUCUGUCUGGUCUGUCUGUCUGGUCUGUCUGUGUCUGGUUUGGUCUGUUUGUCUGGUCUGUCUGUCGAUCUUUGGCCAGGAUUCAAUCCAAGGCACGUUACAGGUCGACACUCUAAACAGCCGACAACGCUCCUCUAAAGGCAAUGUCCCCAGCGUUCACGGAGAUCACAUUCAUG
RNAcentral lists this long non-coding RNA (2751 nucleotides) under Salmo salar (Atlantic salmon). RNAcentral's name for it is "lncRNA (ENSSSAG00000102842.1, ENSSSAG00000111594.1)". Lineage: Eukaryota; Metazoa; Chordata; Actinopteri; Salmoniformes; Salmonidae. The record is from RNAcentral.